RNAcentral lists this ribosomal RNA (252 nucleotides) under uncultured bacterium. RNAcentral describes it as "partial 16S ribosomal RNA". It matches the Rfam family "Bacterial small subunit ribosomal RNA", at positions 524 to 776 of the family's 1533-position model. The record is from RNAcentral.
UACGUAGGUGGCAAGCGUUGUCCGGAAUUAUUGGGCGUAAAGCGCGCGCAGGCGGAUAGGUCAGUCUGUCUUAAAAGUUCGGGGCUUAACCCCGUGAUGGGAUGGAAACUGCCAAUCUAGAGUAUCGGAGAGGAAAGUGGAAUUCCUAGUGUAGCGGUGAAAUGCGUAGAUAUUAGGAAGAACACCAGUGGCGAAGGCGGCUUUCUGGACGAAAACUGACGCUGAGGCGCGAAAGCGAGGGGAGCGAACGGG